RNAcentral lists this transfer RNA (91 nucleotides) under Snodgrassella alvi. Its description in RNAcentral is "tRNA-Leu". It matches the Rfam family "tRNA". From Rfam's summary of the family: Transfer RNA (tRNA) molecules are approximately 80 nucleotides in length. The record is from RNAcentral. Lineage: Bacteria; Pseudomonadati; Pseudomonadota; Betaproteobacteria; Neisseriales; Neisseriaceae. RNAcentral also lists the same sequence under 4 other names.
GCCCGGGUGGUGAAAUUGGUAGACACAACGGACUUAAAAUCCGUCGGCUCUUAAAACGGCCGUGCCGGUUCGAUUCCGGCCCCGGGCACCA